Molecule: microRNA precursor, 82 nt
Filed under: Canis lupus familiaris (dog)
Lineage: Eukaryota; Metazoa; Chordata; Mammalia; Carnivora; Canidae
Also listed under: 3 other names
Source: RNAcentral
GUGUGUGGUACCCUACUACAAAGAGUGGCUAUCACAUAUAAUUUAAGAUGAUUUGCACCUCUGUGAGUGGAGUAACACCUAA